Molecule: ribosomal RNA, 1473 nt
Filed under: Lachnospiraceae bacterium CG2
Lineage: Bacteria; Bacillati; Bacillota; Clostridia; Lachnospirales; Lachnospiraceae
Description: bacterial SSU rRNA
Rfam family: Bacterial small subunit ribosomal RNA
Source: RNAcentral
UUAUCCUGGGUCCGGGAGAAACCGGGGGGGGUGGUUUAAACCCGCCAAUUGAAAGAAAACAUUUUAUCACGAUGCGUUUGGUCAAAUCUUUAAAUAUCUUAGUGGCGGACGGGUGAGUAACGCGUGGGUAACCUGCCUUACACAGGGGGAUAACAGUUAGAAAUGACUGCUAAUACCGCAUAAGCGCACAGUAUCGCAUGAUACAGUGUGAAAAGAUUUAUCGGUGUAAGAUGGACCCGCGUCUGAUUAGCUAGUUGGUGAGGUAACGGCCCACCAAGGCGACGAUCAGUAGCCGGCCUGAGAGGGUGACCGGCCACAUUGGGACUGAGACACGGCCCAAACUCCUACGGGAGGCAGCAGUAGGGAAUAUUGGACAAUGGGGGCAACCCUGAUCCAGCGACGCCGCGUGAGUGAAGAAGUAUUUCGGUACGUAAAGCUCUAUCAGCAGGGAAGAAAAUGACGGUACCUGACUAAGAAGCACCGGCUAAAUACGUGCCAGCAGCCGCGGUAAUACGUAUGGUGCAAGCGUUAUUCGGAUUUACUGGGUGUAAAGGGAGCGUAGACGGCAUAGCAAGUCUGAAGUGAAAUGCGGGGGCUCAACCCCUGAACUGCUUUGGAAACUGUUAAGCUAGAGUGUCGGAGAGGUUAGUGGAAUUCCUAGUGUAGCGGUGAAAUGCGUAGAUAUUAGGAGGAACACCGGUGGCGAAGGCGGCUAACUGGACGAUAACUGACGUUGAGGCUCGAAAGCGUGGGGAGCAAACAGGAUUAGAUACCCUGGUAGUCCACGCUGUAAACGAUGAUUACUAGGUGUUGGGUACCAAUACGUCUUCGGUGCCGUCGUAAACGCAUUAAGUAAUCCACCGGGGGAGUACUUUCGCAAAAAUGAAACUCAAAGGAAUUGACGGGAACCCGCCCAAGCGGGGAAGCAUGGGGUUUAAUUCGAAGCACCGCGAAAAACCUUACCAAAUCUUGACUUCCCGAUGACCGCACAUGUAAGGUGUGUUCCCUUCGGAGCAUUGAAAACAGGGGGGGCAUGGUUGUCGUCAGCUCGGGUCGGGAAAUGUUGGGUUAAGUCCCGCAACGAGCGCAACCCUUGCCUUUAGUAGCCAGCAUUAAGAUGGGCACUCUAGAGGGACUGCCCGGGAUAACCUGGAGGAAGGUGGGGAUGACGUCAAAUCAUCAUGCCCCUUAUGAUUUGGGCUACACACGUGCUACAAUGGCGUAAACAAAGAGAAGCGAAAGGGUGACAUUAAGCAAAUCUCAAAAAUAACGUCUCAGUUCGGAUUGUAGUCUGCAACUCGACUACAUGAAGCUGGAAUCGCUAGUAAUCGCGAAUCAGCAUGUCGCGGUGAAUACGUUCCCGGGUCUUGUACACACCGCCCGUCACACCAUGGGAGUUGGUAAUGCCCGAAGUCUGUGACCUAACCGAAAGGAAGGAGCAGCCGAAGGCAGGACUGAUAACUGGGGUGAAGU